Molecule: ribosomal RNA, 468 nt
Filed under: uncultured bacterium
Lineage: Bacteria
Description: partial 16S ribosomal RNA
Rfam family: Bacterial small subunit ribosomal RNA
Source: RNAcentral
GACGAACGCUGGCGGCGUGCUUAACACAUGCAAGUCGAGCGGAAAGGCCCUGCUUUUGUUGGGUGCUCGAGUGGCGAACGGGUGAGUAACACGUGAGUAACCUGCCCUUACCUUUGUGGUAACUUCAGGAGACUGCGGCUCAUACCGGGUAGGAUCUCCUGCUGCAUGGGGGGGGUUGGAAAGUUUCGGCGGUUGGGGAUCGAAUCGCGGCUUAUCAGCUGCUUGGUGUGGUAGUGGCGUACCAAGGCUUUGAAGGCUAGGCGGCCUAAGAGGGUGACCGGCGUCAAUGGGACUGAGAUACGGCGCAGACGGCUACCGGAGGCAGCAGUGGGGAAUAUGGCAGAAUGGGCGGAAGCCUGAGGCGGCAACGCUGCGUGCGGGAUGAUGGCUUUCGGGUUGUAAACCGAUGUGGACGGUGCUGAACAGUGAGUGACGGUAAUGGGUCAAGAAGCACCGGCUAACUACGUG